This 253-nucleotide ribosomal RNA is filed under the name uncultured bacterium. RNAcentral describes it as "partial 16S ribosomal RNA". It matches the Rfam family "Bacterial small subunit ribosomal RNA", at positions 524 to 776 of the family's 1533-position model. The record is from RNAcentral.
UACGAAGGGGGCUAGCGUUGCUCGGAAUCACUGGGCGUAAAGGGUGCGUAGGCGGGUUUUUAAGUCAGGGGUGAAAUCCUGGAGCUCAACUCCAGAACUGCCUUUGAUACUGAAGAUCUUGAGUCCGGGAGAGGUGAGUGGAACUGCGAGUGUAGAGGUGAAAUUCGUAGAUAUUCGCAAGAACACCAGUGGCGAAGGCGGCUCACUGGCCCGGUACUAACGCUGAGGCACGAAAGCGUGGGGAGCAAACAGG